UGGGGAAUAUUGGACAAUGGGCGCAAGCCUGAUCCAGCCAUGCCGCGUGAGUGAUGAAGGCCUUAGGGUUGUAAAGCUCUUUCACCGGUGAAGAUAAUGACGGUAACCGGAGAAGAAGCCCCGGCUAACUUCGUGCCAGCAGCCGCGGUAAUACGAAGGGGGCUAGCGUUGUUCGGAUUUACUGGGCGUAAAGCGCACGUAGGCGGAUCGAUCAGUCAGGGGUGAAAUCCCAGGGCUCAACCCUGGAACUGCCUUUGAUACUGUCGAUCUGGAGUAUGGAAGAGGUGAGUGGAAUUCCGAGUGUAGAGGUGAAAUUCGUAGAUAUUCGGAGGAACACCAGUGGCGAAGGCGGCUCACUGGUCCAUUACUGACGCUGAGGUGCGAAAGCGUGGGGAGCAAACAGG
This 404-nucleotide ribosomal RNA is filed under the name uncultured prokaryote. RNAcentral's name for it is "bacterial SSU rRNA". It matches the Rfam family "Bacterial small subunit ribosomal RNA", at positions 355 to 776 of the family's 1533-position model. The record is from RNAcentral. RNAcentral also lists the same sequence under 1 other name.